RNAcentral lists this ribosomal RNA (496 nucleotides) under uncultured bacterium. Its description in RNAcentral is "partial 16S ribosomal RNA". It matches the Rfam family "Bacterial small subunit ribosomal RNA", at positions 29 to 507 of the family's 1533-position model. The record is from RNAcentral.
AUGAACGCUGGCGGCGUGCCUAAUACAUGCAAGUCGAGCGAACAGACGAGGAGCUUGCUCCUCUGACGUUAGCGGCGGACGGGUGAGUAACACGUGGAUAACCUACCUAUAAGACUGGGAUAACUUCGGGAAACCGGAGCUAAUACCGGAUAAUAUAUUGAACCGCAUGGUUCAAUAGUGAAAGACGGUUUUGCUAUCACUUAUAGAUGGAUCCGCGCCGCAUUAGCUAGUUGGUAAGGUAACGGCUUACCAAGGCGACGAUGCGUAGCCGACCUGAGAGGGUGAUCGGCCACACUGGAACUGAGACACGGUCCAGACUCCUACGGGAGGCAGCAGUAGGGAAUCUUCCGCAAUGGGCGAAAGCCUGACGGAGCAACGCCGCGUGAGUGAUGAAGGUCUUCGGAUCGUAAAACUCUGUUAUUAGGGAAGAACAAAUGUGUAAGUAACUAUGCACGUCUUGACGGUACCUAAUCAGAAAGCCACGGCUAACUACGUG